AGCAGCCGCGGUAAUUCCAGCUCCAAUAGCGUAUAUUAAAGUUGUUGCAGUUAAAAAGCUCGUAGUUGAAUUUCGGGAUUGGCGCAUCGGUCGUGCCUCACGGGGUAUGAACUGGUGCAGUCAAUUUCUCACCUUCUGGAGAACCGCGAUGUCCUUAAUUGGAUGCCGCGGGGAACCAGGACCUUUACUUUGAAAAAAUUAGAGUGUUUAAAGCAGGCAUUUUUGCUUGAAUACAUUAGCAUGGAAUAAUAAAAUAGGACGGCAUGGUUCUAUUUUGUUGGUUUCUAGGACCACCGUAAUGAUUAAUAGGGAUAGUUGGGGGCAUUAGUAUUCAAUUGUCAGAGGUGAAAUUCUUGGAUUUAUUGAAGACUAACUACUGCGAAAGCAUUUGCCAAGGAUGUUUUCAUUAAUCAAGAACGAAAGUUAGGGGAUCGAAGACGA
This 441-nucleotide ribosomal RNA is filed under the name uncultured Entrophospora. Its description in RNAcentral is "SSU rRNA". It matches the Rfam family "Eukaryotic small subunit ribosomal RNA", at positions 569 to 1007 of the family's 1831-position model. Lineage: Eukaryota; Fungi; Glomeromycota; Glomeromycetes; Entrophosporales; Entrophosporaceae. The record is from RNAcentral.